AAGCUUGCUUCUCUUGAGAGCGGCGGGACGGGUGAGUAAUGCCUAGGAAUCUGCCUGGUAGUGGGGGAUAACGUUCGGAAACGGACGCUAAUACCGCAUACGUCCUACGGGAGAAAGCAGGGGACCUUCGGGCCUUGCGCUAUCAGAUGAGCCUAGGUCGGAUUAGCUAGUUGGUGGGGUAAUGGCUCACCAAGGCGACGAUCCGUAACUGGUCUGAGAGGGUGAUCAGUCACACUGGAACUGAGACACGGUCCAGACUCCUACGGGAGGCAGCAGUGGGGAAUAUUGGACAAUGGGCGAAAGCCUGAUCCAGCCAUGCCGCGUGUGUGAAGAAGGUCUUCGGAUUGUAAAGCACUUUAAGUUGGGAGGAAGGGUUGUAGAUUAAUACUCUGCAAUUUUGACGUUACCGACAGAAUAAGCACCCGGCUAACUC
Molecule: ribosomal RNA, 433 nt
Filed under: uncultured bacterium
Lineage: Bacteria
Description: bacterial SSU rRNA
Rfam family: Bacterial small subunit ribosomal RNA
Source: RNAcentral